GAUGAAGAACGUAGCGAAAUGCGAAAAGUAAUGUGAAUUGCAGAAUUCAGUGAACCAUCGAAUCUUUGAACGCACAUUGCGCCCGCUGGAACUCCGGCGGGCACGCCUGUCCGAGCGUCAUUUCAACCCUCAGGCCCCCCUUCGCGGGCGGGCCUGGUGUUGGGGCCCGGCCGCUACCCUGCGGCCGUCCCCUAAAUUCAGUGGCGGCCUCGCCGUGAUCCCUUGCGUAGUAAUGCACCUCGCACCGGAGAGCGCCGUGGCCACGCCGUAAAACCCCCAAUUUUCAAUGGUUGACCUCGGAUCAGGUGGGAAUACCCGCUGAACUUAAGCAUAUCAAUAAGCGAGGA
This 347-nucleotide unclassified non-coding RNA is filed under the name soil metagenome. RNAcentral's name for it is "partial contains 5.8S ribosomal RNA, internal transcribed spacer 2, and large subunit ribosomal RNA". The stretch from base 1 to 120 matches the Rfam family "5.8S ribosomal RNA", at positions 35 to 154 of the family's 154-position model. The record is from RNAcentral.